GUCUAUGGCCAUAUCAGCCUGAAUGCACCUGAUCUCUUUUAAUCUUGGAAACUAAGCAGGGUCAUGCAUGGUUAGUACUAGAAUGGGAAACACUUGAAGGAAAAAAAAAUGAAGACA
RNAcentral lists this ribosomal RNA (117 nucleotides) under Fukomys damarensis (Damara mole-rat). The record is from RNAcentral. Lineage: Eukaryota; Metazoa; Chordata; Mammalia; Rodentia; Bathyergidae.